AUAAAAGAAAAGAUGGCCAGAUAUUAUCACAGGGAUUCUGGAAAAACAUGAUGUUUCUGAAUUUGAUUGAUUUCCAAGGAUUCUUCCAGCAUAAUUGUAUAGUCUUCUUCAAAAACUAUGUGUACAAAAGAGCUUUGGGCAGAGUAAAAAAGCUUCCACAGAGGAGGAAAGAUGUUUUUG
This is a long non-coding RNA of Ahaetulla prasina, 180 nucleotides long. RefSeq lists it as uncharacterized. NCBI's taxonomy places the organism in Eukaryota, Metazoa, Chordata, Lepidosauria, Squamata, Colubridae. The transcript is spliced from 3 exons. The record is from RefSeq and is a predicted model, not a curated record.